CCGGGCUCGCGGAGGGCGGGGGUCCUGGGCGCGGGCCGCCGCGGCUCUUUGCCUGGAGGCUUCCUCUGACCCCUCUAGCGCGCCGCGUAUUCCUGCUUUCAGGCUUCUGGAUGGCGUCCUGCAGGAUGUUAAUUCGGUCUGUCCUUUUUAUUAUGAAAACAUUUGAACGUACAGAGAAGUGGGAACAUUUCUGCCAUGAACACCAACACGUAUUCUACAUUUGUUAGCAUUUUGCUGUAUUUUCUAAACUACACCUGUCCUAACGUCAAUUUUAGUAUUUGUGCUGCCCAAUUGAGCUCUGCCCUUCUACAUCAAACCACCUUAUUUUUUUCUAAUGCAGAUCUUAAGACAGGAGUCCCCCCCCCUUAUGGGGGACGGGAGACAGACACGUGGUCCCAGACCCCUAGGGGCACCUCCGAAACCGGAGAGUAGCAAGCCCUGUGGUGUUUUUCUUGUAUGUCCAUACCUAUGAUAAAGUUUAUGAUAUGGACACAGUAAGAGAUUAACGGGAUAGUAAGACGAUAAUAUACUGUAAUAAAAGUUCUAUAAGGGGCGCCUGGGUGGCUCAGUCAGCCUGCUACUCUCGAUUCUGCUCAGGUUGUCAGAUGGGGACCCCGGAUCAGGUCCACCUGGGAAUGGAGCCUGCUUAAAUUCUCCCACUCUGCCCCUAAACCCCCUCCUUCACUUGCUCACUUAAAAAAAAAUCUGUGGGAAAAAAAAAAUUGUGAAUGUGGCCUUUAUCUUUCAAAAUCUACCCAACAUUUUUAUGAGGGUGUAAGGUGAGAAAAUGCCUACCUGAUGAGGUGAAUGCCUGGGCAAUGUGACACAGCCUUAGGGCUAUUGUCCUGACACCUCAGAAGGAUCCCUUGUUUCUGGGACCCUGCUUGGCCACAGGUGACCUCAGGUCACUGAAAUGGAGGAAAGUGAAAUGGUAGAUGAAAGGAUUAAGUUACACACUUAACUCUGGGCACGCUUGGCUGGGGUUGUGUUGGAUGUCAAUAUUCAUUUAUGGAUUUUCUUAAGGCAAGAUUUCCAUGUGGUAACUUGUAAAUCUUAAAUUCGUUGAAUUUCGUAAGUGUAUACUCUUACACUCUUGUAACUUAUUCUAUCAGCAGCUAUAAAAUCGUAAUUAAUACAUGUACAUCAUCACUAAAAAUCACUUUAUUCCCCUCCCUCCACCUCCCCAUCACCCAUUGUUUUUCUCACCAUCUACUGCAAUUUGACCCUCACAUUUAUUCCUUUUCUCCCUUUCUGUGACUUUGAGUGAAUGCAGGAAACUGAUAGUUGAUUUAAUACAUAGGUAAGUUCUGAGGGUUAUUAACUUUAAAAAAAUGUAAACUGGGGUGCCUGGGUGGCUCAGUUAAUUAAGCAUCUGCCUUUGGCUGAGGUCAUGAUCCCAGGGUCCUUGCUCAGCAGGGAGCCUGCUUCUCCCGCUCCUGCCUGCAGCUCUGCUUGUGCUCUUGUCCAAUAAAUAAACCAAAUCUUUUUUUUUUUAAGUGAACUACUUUCCCACAAGUGUGUAUAGUCAAUAGAAUUCUUUUUUUUUUUUAAUUUUUUUUUUUCUAUUUAGUUAUGAUAGUCACAGAGAGAGAGAGGCAGAGACACAGGCAGAGGGAGAAGCAGGCUCCAUGCACCGGGAGCCUGACGUGGGAUUCGAUCCCGGGUCUCCAGGAUCGCGCCCUGGGCCAAAGGCAGGCGCCAAACCGCUGCGCCACCCAGGGAUCCCCUAGUCAAUAGAAUUCUGAUUGAAAUCAAAGCUUCCCACCUACCAGAUGAUUUUUUUCACCUAUAUUUUCUGGAUGAUGAACAGAUAGUAAAAGCUACCAUUUUUUGGAAACUGUGUGCCCAGCAUUGUGCCAGGCACUUACAUACACGGUUUAUAAUUCUUAUACCCAGGUGAUCUAUAAGAUGGAAUAAUAUACAAUUCAUAUACAUGGGACAAAUCCUAACUGAGGGAGAGUCUACAACUCCAUGAGAUGGAUGGGUUUUCUUCCCCCGCUCUCCCAUUUUAUAAAUGACAAAGCUUAGGCCCAGAGAAACCAAAGAACUUGCCAGAUUUCUCUAAUCUAGAAAAUUGCUAAAUUAGAAUUUUGAGCCCUUGAUUCCUAAAUGCCCAAGGCCUGUUGUCUUCAGGACUUACAGGAUGGGGAAUAUAGGAAUGGGAGUAGAAAAGCCUACCGGGAUCAUUAGCUAAGGUACAUGUUAUGUAAAAUGAAAGGAAGUAAAUGUUAAGUGAAUCUUCCUUGGAGGAAGAAAUAAAAGUACUUGGGAAAAAAUCCUGUUAAGGGUGAUUUUCUAUAUUUUCCAGCAUAUGGUGGCUCAGGUUCUGAAGGUUUAUUUGCUUUUUUCUGCAGGCGAGGGUGUGUGGGUGAGAUAAAGUAGUUUCAGGUGGAGAGGUGAGGCAACGUGUCAGUACUGAAUGUUCAUCUUUUCUCAACCAGGGUUCCCAUAGGAAACAAUUUGAGUGACUAUUUUUAUCAUUUCUGAGGGUACAACAGAGCUAGUACCAUUCUAGGUAUAGGAGUUAAGUUAUUACAUAUAAUGGAAACCUUGGGGCAUUUGAACUUGAUUUGGGUCUGACAGCUAGUAACUCAGUUUUAGUUUUUUUUGUUUGGGGUUUUUUUAAUUUUUUUUAAAUUUUUAUUUAUUUUUAUGAUAGUCACACACAGAGAGAAAGAGGCAGAGACACAGGCAGAGGGAGAAGCAGGCUCCAUGCACCAGGAGCCCGAUGUGGGAUUCGAUCCCGGGUCUCCAGAAUCGCGCCCUGGGCCAAAGGCAGGCGCCAAACCGCUGCGCCACCCAGGGAUCCCUGUUUGGGGUUUUUUUUUUGCCAUGAUAGUUCCUGCUUUAAAGGCUUAUUUUUCCUUUACAGCUAAUUAUCAGUUGGGCUGCUUUUGGCUACAAAUUACAGAAGACUUGACUUAAAAUGGCUUAAACAGGCAGCCAGGAGGGCCUGGGGAAAUCCCACACGUCCCACCUGCCUGGGGGAUUGUUGAGGGCCAUCAGCUUGUGCUUCCCGCUCAGUUUGCCUUCUACUCCUUCAUCAUUUAUCGAGAAGGAACAUCUUUCUCUUCUGUCUCAUUGGCCAGAAUUGAGAUGUAUGCCCAGGACCUAGCUGAAAAAGUGGCUGGGAAAAAUGUUCUUUUUCAGCUUCUGUCUUGGAAUACAGGCUCUGCCAGUUGGGAUGAAAGUGGGAUAAAAGGCUGCUGCAUAGGUGGCCAUCAGUGCCAGCCGCGGUGACGUUUAUUAGCAAUUACAGACCGUCCUACAGCCUACACCCUCUCAUAUUGCAUACUGACAUCUCCAAAUUGCUUUGAUGAGCUUGGGCUUGUCCAUCUUAGCUCAUGAUUGAGAGAUUGGAGCUCUGGUAUUUUGCACUACCUGUCUGAUCAAGAGUUCUGCUUUAGCAGUGUCCUCAUCAGAUGAAUGGCACUGUGGAGUUGUCAGGUUUUUUUUUGUUGUUGUUGGUUUUUUUUUAAAUUUUUAUUUAUUUAUUUAUGAUAGUCACAGAGAGAGAGGGGGGAAGAGACACAAGCAGGCUCCAUGCACCGGGAGCCCGACGUGGGACUCUAUCCCGGGUCUCCAGGAUCGCGCCCUGGGCCAAAGGCAGACGCCAAACCGCUGCACCACCCAGGGAUCCCGUUGUCAGGAGACAAGUCAAAACUCCACCAUGAUGCUGAACAUUAAAAUUCUUCCCACGGCAACUUGUCAACAUAAUCGACAAGUCAGUUUUCUUAGUAACUGCCCAAGGCACGUGGUGAGAAGGAUGUCAGCUAAAUUCUAAAUAAAAAAUAGGAGGGGCAAGAUGGCGGAAGAGCAGGGUCCCCAAAUCACCUGUCCCCACCAAAUUACCUAGAUAACCUUCAAACCAUCCUGAAAAUUUACGAAUUCGGCCUGAGAUGUAAAGAGAGACCAGCUGGAAUGCUACAGUGAGAAAAGUCCGCGCUUCUAUCAAGGUAGGAAGACGGGGAAAAAGAAAUAAAGGAACAAAAGGCCUCCGAGGGGGAGGGGCCCCGCGAGGAGCCAGGCUGAGGCCGGGGCGAGUGUCCCCAGGACAGGAGAGCCCCGUCCCAGAGAAGCAGGAGCUGCACCAACCUUCCCGGGCGGAAAGGGGCCCGCAGGGAGUUAGAGCAGGACCCAGGAGGGCGGGGAUGCCUUCUCUCUCUUUUUCUCCUUUUCCCAAUACAACUUGUUUUUGGCCACUCUGCACUGAGCAAAAUGACUGGAAGGAAAACCUCACUUCAAAAGAAAGAAUCAGAAACAGCCCUCUCUCCCACAGAGUUACAAAAUCUGGAUUACACUUCAAUGUCAGAAAGCCAAUUCAGAAGCACUAUUCUACAGCUACUGGUGGCUCUAGAAAAAAGCAUUAAGGACUCACGAGACUUCAUGACUGCAGAAUUUAGAUCCAAUCAGGCAGAAAUUAAAAAUCAAUUGAAUGAGAUGCAAUCCAAACUAGAAGUCCUAACGACGAGGGUUAACGAGGUGGAAGAACGAGUGAGUGACAUAGAAGACAAGUUAAUGGCAAAGAGGGAAACUGAGGAAAAAAGAGAUAAACAAUUAAAGAACCAUGAAGACAGAUUAAGGCAAAUAAAUGACACUCUAAGAAAGAAAAACCUACGUUUAAUUGGGGUUCCCGAGGGCGCCGAAAGGGACAGAGGGCCAGAAUAUGUAUUUGAACAAAUCCUAGCUGAAAACUUUCCCAAUCUGGGAAGGGAAACAGGCAUUCAGAUCCAGGAAAUAGAGAGAUCCCCCCCUAAAAUCAAUAAAAACCGUUCAACACCUCGACAUCUAAUAGUGAAGCUUGCAAAUUCCAAAGAUAAAGAGAAGAUCCUUAAAGCAGCAAGAGACAAGAAGUCCCUGACUUUCAUGGGGAGGAAUAUUAGGGUAACAGCAGACCUCUCCACAGAGACCUGGCAGGCCAGAAAGGGCUGGCAGGAUAUAUUCAGGGUCCUAAAUGAGAAGAGCAUGCAACCAAGAAUACUUUAUCCAGCAAGGCUCUCAUUCAAAAUGGAAGGAGAGAUAAAGAGCUUCCAAGACAGGCAGGAACUGAAAGAAUAUGUGACCUCCAAACCAGCUCUGCAAGAAAUUUUAAGGGGGACUCUUAAAACUCCCCUUUAAGAAGAAGUUCAAGUAACUCUGAACAUGAAUGGGCUUAAUGACCCCAUCAAAAGGCGCAGAGUUUCAGACUGGAUAAAAAAACAGGACCCAUCUAUUUGCUGUCUACAAGAGACUCAUUUUAGACAGAAGGACACCUACAACCUGAAAAUAAAAGGUUGGAGAACCAUUUACCAUUCAAAUGGUUCUCAAAAUAUACCCUAAAAACUACAGAACACUUCUGAAAGAAAUUGAGGAAGACACAAAGAGUUGGAAAAAUAUUCCAUGCUCAUGGAUUGGCAGAAUUAAUAUUGUGAAAAUGUCAAUGUUACCCAGGGCAAUUUACACGUA
This is a long non-coding RNA of Nyctereutes procyonoides (raccoon dog), 5445 nucleotides long. RefSeq lists it as uncharacterized. The transcript has 3 exons. NCBI's taxonomy places the organism in Eukaryota, Metazoa, Chordata, Mammalia, Carnivora, Canidae. The record is from RefSeq and is a predicted model, not a curated record.